CCUGGAUACAGAAUUGAACAGAGCAAAUCUAGAACAUUUCCAUUAUCUCAGAAAGUUCUAACAGACAAACUUGAUCUAGACCCUGGCCCCAAAUUCUAACAACACCUAAGAAAACAAAUUCCUUCCGAGGUUAAACUUGGGGUGCCAGGAACACCACCUCUCCUGAAGGAAAGCAUGGAACUAAGGAGACGCAGAUGAAUAAGACCUGGUCCCUGCCUUCAAGGCCUCCACAAAUUAAUGGGUGAGACCAACAGAAAAUGAAUCAAAGCACGAGUGUGAUAUCAGCCAAACGGUCUCAAAGCUCCCCUGACCAUCCAAGCUUGAGAAGGAUCUCCCCACCAACACCUUGUGCCUCUCACCUAAUUUCGCUUUGCACUGUGACCACACUUCCUGCUUACCCAUUUACUACCGAGCU
Long non-coding RNA from Lutra lutra (Eurasian river otter), 415 nucleotides. RefSeq lists it as uncharacterized. The transcript is spliced from 3 exons. NCBI's taxonomy places the organism in Eukaryota, Metazoa, Chordata, Mammalia, Carnivora, Mustelidae. The record is from RefSeq and is a predicted model, not a curated record.